Molecule: ribosomal RNA, 589 nt
Filed under: Ustilago shanxiensis
Lineage: Eukaryota; Fungi; Basidiomycota; Ustilaginomycetes; Ustilaginales; Ustilaginaceae
Description: partial large subunit ribosomal RNA
Rfam family: Eukaryotic large subunit ribosomal RNA
Source: RNAcentral
CCCUAGUAACGGCGAGUGAAGAGGGAAGAGCCCAAGAUUGAAAGCUGGCGUCUUCGGCGUCCGCAUUGUAAUCUCAAGAAGUGUUUUCCGCUUCGGACCAUGCCUAAGUCCCUUGGAAAAGGGCAUCAUAGAGGGUGAUAAUCCCGUACAUGGCAUGGAGCGCCCGAGGCUUUGUGAUACGCUUUCUAAGAGUCGAGUUGUUUGGGAAUGCAGCUCAAAAUGGGUGGUAAAUGCCAUCUAAGGCUAAAUAUUGGGGAGAGACCGAUAGCGAACAAGUACAGUGAUGGAAAGAUGAAAAGAACUUUGAAAAGAGAGUUAAACAGUACGUGAAAUUGCCAAAAGGGAAGGGUAGGAGGUCAGAGAUGCGUUCUGGGAUUCAGCCUUGCUUUUGCUUGGUGUUUUUCCCAGAUUGCAGGCCAACGUCGGUUUUGGGCGCUGGAGAAGGGUGGAAGGAAUGUGGCACCCCUCGGGGUGUGUUAUAGCCUUCUACUGGAUACAGUGACCGAGACCGAGGACAGCAGCGUACUCGCAAGAGCGGGCCUUCGGGCACCUUUACGCUUAGGGCGUUGGCAUAAUGGCCCUCUACCAC